UACAGAGGGUGCAAGCGUUGUUCGGAAUUAUUGGGCGUAAAGAGCUCGUAGGCGGUUUGUCGCGUCUGCUGUGAAAACCUAAGGCUCAACCUUGGGCUUGCAGUGGGUACGGGCAGACUAGAGUGCGGUAGGGGUGACUGGAAUUCCUGGUGUAGCGGUGGAAUGCGCAGAUAUCAGGAGGAACACCGAUGGCGAAGGCAGGUCUCUGGGCAUUAACUGACGCUGAG
Molecule: ribosomal RNA, 227 nt
Filed under: uncultured bacterium
Lineage: Bacteria
Description: partial 16S ribosomal RNA
Rfam family: Bacterial small subunit ribosomal RNA
Source: RNAcentral